UCACAGCCAAGAGGUGGAUGGCAAAGACUGGUGACUGACAGCCAGCAGGCUGGCAGCAGAGACUUGCGAUGAGAAGCCAGCUGGGCAGAUGUAUAGACAGGAAGACUGCAGCUAAAUGAAGAGCAUCAGAUACUCGUUUGUGCUGCUCCCGCCCUCUCCUCCGAGCGUUUCCCUUUGCCACCUAAACUGGGAUGUCUGUGAGGGAGUCCACCACACCCUGCGGAUACAAUGGUGCUGGAUAUAUGGGAGGUACAGGACAUUGGCAAGAGAGCACCGCUGCAUUCUGCAGAAUGAUCGGGAGGAUGAGAAUGGCUGCUUGCCUUCUGGUCAUGGACAGGAAGAGAUCGUCCA
Non-coding RNA from Pelodiscus sinensis (Chinese soft-shelled turtle), 351 nucleotides. The record is from RefSeq and is a predicted model, not a curated record. Lineage: Eukaryota; Metazoa; Chordata; Testudines; Trionychidae.